This 160-nucleotide unclassified non-coding RNA is filed under the name uncultured fungus. RNAcentral's name for it is "sequence contains ITS1". The record is from RNAcentral. Lineage: Eukaryota; Fungi.
CCUUUUAUUCAGCAUGGGAGCCUACAGUCCGCUGUAGUCCCCUGUCUGUAUCCGUGUCUUUUGCGUACUUGAACGUUUCCUCGGCGGCUUACCCCGCCGAACGGACAACUAUAUAACCUUUUUGCAAUUGCAAUCAGCGUCUGAACAAACACAAUAUUUA